CCCAUAUCACGGUGGAACACUGAUUCCCACAUGAUGACCGAAGUUAAGCGAUGCUGAAUUUGGUCAGUAUCUAGAUGGGUGACCGCUUGGGAAUACCAAGUGCUGUAA
This 108-nucleotide ribosomal RNA is filed under the name Acanthosepion pharaonis. Lineage: Eukaryota; Metazoa; Mollusca; Cephalopoda; Sepiida; Sepiidae. The record is from RNAcentral.